This 588-nucleotide ribosomal RNA is filed under the name Vibrio sp. 6JANF2-E-3. Its description in RNAcentral is "bacterial SSU rRNA". It matches the Rfam family "Bacterial small subunit ribosomal RNA", at positions 337 to 917 of the family's 1533-position model. Lineage: Bacteria; Pseudomonadati; Pseudomonadota; Gammaproteobacteria; Vibrionales; Vibrionaceae. RNAcentral also lists the same sequence under 1 other name. The record is from RNAcentral.
UCCUACGGGAGGCAGCAGUGGGGAAUAUUGCACAAUGGGCGCAAGCCUGAUGCAGCCAUGCCGCGUGUGUGAAGAAGGCCUUCGGGUUGUAAAGCACUUUCAGUAGGGAGGAAGGUUCAUGCGUUAAUAGCGUAUGGAUUUGACGUUACCUACAGAAGAAGCACCGGCUAACUCCGUGCCAGCAGCCGCGGUAAUACGGAGGGUGCGAGCGUUAAUCGGAAUUACUGGGCGUAAAGCGCAUGCAGGUGGUUUGUUAAGUCAGAUGUGAAAGCCCGGGGCUCAACCUCGGAAUUGCAUUUGAAACUGGCAGACUAGAGUACUGUAGAGGGGGGUAGAAUUUCAGGUGUAGCGGUGAAAUGCGUAGAGAUCUGAAGGAAUACCGGUGGCGAAGGCGGCCCCCUGGACAGAUACUGACACUCAGAUGCGAAAGCGUGGGGAGCAAACAGGAUUAGAUACCCUGGUAGUCCACGCCGUAAACGAUGUCUACUUGGAGGUUGUGGCCUUGAGCCGUGGCUUUCGGAGCUAACGCGUUAAGUAGACCGCCUGGGGAGUACGGUCGCAAGAUUAAAACUCAAAUGAAUUGACGGA